AGAGUUUGAUCCUGGCUCAGGAUGAACGCUGGCGGCGUGCCUAAUACAUGCAAGUCGAGCGAACAGACGAGGAGCUUGCUCCUUCGACGUUAGCGGCGGACGGGUGAGUAACACGUAGGUAACCUACCUAUAAGACUGGGAUAACUUCGGGAAACCGGAGCUAAUACCGGAUAAUAUUUCGAACCGCAUGGUUCGAUAGUGAAAGAUGGCUUUGCUAUCACUUAUAGAUGGACCUGCGCCGUAUUAGCUAGUUGGUAAGGUAACGGCUUACCAAGGCAACGAUACGUAGCCGACCUGAGAGGGUGAUCGGCCACACUGGAACUGAGACAC
This 330-nucleotide ribosomal RNA is filed under the name Staphylococcus hominis. RNAcentral's name for it is "bacterial SSU rRNA". It matches the Rfam family "Bacterial small subunit ribosomal RNA", at positions 8 to 327 of the family's 1533-position model. Lineage: Bacteria; Bacillati; Bacillota; Bacilli; Caryophanales; Staphylococcaceae. The record is from RNAcentral.